ACGCACGCUGGCGGCGUGCCUCACACAUGCCAGUCGAACGGAAAGGCCCUGCUUUUGUGGGGUGCUCGAGUGGCGAACGGGUGAGUAACACGUGAGUAACCUGCCCUUGACUUUGGGAUAACUUCAGGAAACUGGGGCUAAUACCGGAUAGGAGCUCCUGCUGCAUGGUGGGGGUUGGAAAGUUUCGGCGGUUGGGGAUGGACUCGCGGCUUAUCAGCUUGUUGGUGGGGUAGUGGCUUACCAAGGCUUUGACGGGUAGCCGGCCUGAGAGGGUGACCGGCCACAUUGGGACUGAGAUACGGCCCAGACUCCUACGGGAGGCAGCAGUGGGGAAUAUUGCACAAUGGGCGGAAGCCUGAUGCAGCAACGCCGCGUGCGGGAUGACGGCCUUCGGGUUGUAAACCGCUUUCGCCUGUGACGAAGCGUGAGUGACGGUAAUGGGUAAAGAAGCACCGGCUAACUACGU
This 466-nucleotide ribosomal RNA is filed under the name uncultured bacterium. RNAcentral describes it as "partial 16S ribosomal RNA". It matches the Rfam family "Bacterial small subunit ribosomal RNA", at positions 29 to 506 of the family's 1533-position model. The record is from RNAcentral.